UAGAGUUUGAUCAUGGCUCAGGAUAAACGCUGGCGGCGUGCCUUACGCAUGCAAGUCGAACGAUUAUGAUUUAUCAUUUUAGUGGCAAACGGGUGAGUAACACGUAAGUAACCUGCCUCUAAGCAGGGGAUAACUCCGGGAAACCGGGGCUAAUACCGUAUGUAAUAGCAGAGGUAAUGCACUGCUAUUAAAGCCUUCGGGCACUUAGGGAGGGGCUUGCGUCCGAUUAGCUAGUUGGUGGGGUAACGGUUCACCAAGGCAGUGAUCGGUAGCUGGUCUGAGAGGACGGUCAGCCACACUGGGACUGAGACACGGCCCAGACUCCUACGGGAGGCAGCAGCGAGGAAUUUUAGUCAAUGGGCGAAAGCCUGAACUAGCGACGCCGCGUGGGGGAUGAAGGUUUUCGGAUCGUAAACCCCUUUUAUCAGGGAGGAAUAAUGACAGUACCUGAUGAAUAAGCCAUGGCUAACUACGUGCCAGCAGCCGCGGUAAUA
This 494-nucleotide ribosomal RNA is filed under the name uncultured bacterium. RNAcentral describes it as "bacterial SSU rRNA". It matches the Rfam family "Bacterial small subunit ribosomal RNA", at positions 1 to 525 of the family's 1533-position model. The record is from RNAcentral.